UAUUAUUUUAAUUGUAAAGUUUAGGCUAGGGUAGUAGUAGAUAAGUACUUGAAACUCAAAGGAAUUGGCGGUGUUUUAGUCUUUUCAGAGGAAUCUGUCCCGUAAUUGAUAAUACACAUUAAAUGUUACUUAAUUUUGUAAAAUCAGUUUGUAUACCGCCGUCGUGAGAUUAUCUUUUUUAGAGUAAUAAUUUUCUUAAAAUUUUAAGAUAAAAUGUCAGGUCAAGGUGCAGUUUAUGAUUAAGAGGGAGAUGGAUUACGAUAAAAAUAUUUAAAUGGAUUUUUCAAUGAAAUUUGGGAAUAAAAGUGGAUUUGAAAGUAAUUUUGUUAAAUUAUGAUAAAAUGAUUUAAGCUCUGGAACAUGUACAUAUCGCCCGUCACUCUCGUUAUUAAGAUGAG
This 398-nucleotide ribosomal RNA is filed under the name Anaulacomera sp. 'wallace'. RNAcentral describes it as "partial 12S ribosomal RNA". The record is from RNAcentral. Lineage: Eukaryota; Metazoa; Arthropoda; Insecta; Orthoptera; Tettigoniidae.